AGGGAGAGCAAGGAUUGCGUCUCUUUCUCAAUCAUCCCAGCUCCAAACCGUGGACGCAUAGAAGGAUAGCAGAAGCUCUUUGCACACUCAUUUCCCUCUUCACCUUGUUCGGCAGAGGAGCAACCUUGAGGAGGUGAGAUUAAGUUUUCGUGGCCCUUUUGUUCCUCCUCACUUGGACUGUUUCUGAUUAAGUUUCCCAUUUUCUUGAAAUGCCUCUGUCUUGAAUGAGUCGCCCCAACCUUUGCAUGCAACGAGAGUUGAUUUCUUUGGGCUUAGGAGAGUGCAGUUUCUAAUUAAUCUUGGAAGCAUGAUGGAAGGUUCAUAAACCUCAAGGAUGCCGGAUGGACUUGGGGGCUGUUUUGAUUAAAAAUGUUAAAGACUUGAGGUGCACAUAACUCUUAAAGUGUAGGCUGAUUUUGGUGCUGCCUUGGGUUGAAAAUUGGACACACCAAGGAGGACGAAAAAGCAUAUGAUGACGUUGUUAUUUUGGAUAUUUGCUGUUGACUGCUGCUGUUUGGACUUUCUGUUGUUGGCUGCUUUGUCUAUUUGAUGUUUGCUGAUUAUAUUCUAAUGAUGUAAUAUUUUGGAAGGAUGGGCUACUGUUGGAACAUGUUUUAAAUUACUGUUUUUUAAGAUUUUAUGGUCAGCUAGUAUUUUGAAAGACUCGGUUUACGUUUUGCGAAAAACAAU
This is a long non-coding RNA of Gastrolobium bilobum, 690 nucleotides long. RefSeq lists it as uncharacterized. Lineage: Eukaryota; Viridiplantae; Streptophyta; Magnoliopsida; Fabales; Fabaceae. The record is from RefSeq and is a predicted model, not a curated record. The transcript is spliced from 4 exons.